Molecule: ribosomal RNA, 332 nt
Filed under: uncultured Acidobacteriota bacterium
Lineage: Bacteria; Pseudomonadati; Acidobacteriota
Description: bacterial SSU rRNA
Rfam family: Bacterial small subunit ribosomal RNA
Source: RNAcentral
UGCGUAGGCGGCUUUCUAAGUCGGAUGUGAAAACUCUGGGCUCAACCCAGAGCCUGCAUCCGAAACUGGAGAGCUAGGGUUCUGGAGGGGAAAGCGGAAUUCCUGGUGUAGCGGUGAAAUGCGUAGAUAUCAGGAGGAACACCGGUGGCGAAGGCGGCUUUCUGGACAGAUACCGACGCUGAGGCACGAAAGCUAGGGGAGCAAACAGGAUUAGAUACCCUGGUAGUCCUAGCCCUAAACGAUGGAUACUUGCUGUGGGGGGGAUUGAAGCCCCUUGUGGCGAAGCUAACGCAUUAAGUAUCCCGCCUGGGGAGUACGGUCGCAAGGCUGAA